GAUGAACGCUAGCGGCAGGCCUAAUACAUGCAAGUCGAACGGCAGCACGAACUUCGGUUUGGUGGCGAGUGGCGCACGGGUGCGUAACGCGUAUGCAACCUACCCUUAACAGGGGGAUAGCCCGGAGAAAUUCGGAUUAAUACCCCAUAGUAUCAUCAGAAGGCAUCUGAAGAUGAUUAAAGAUUUAUUGGUUAAGGAUGGGCAUGCGUGACAUUAGUUAGUUGGUGAGGUAAUGGCUCACCAAGACGAUGAUGUCUAGGGGUUCUGAGAGGAUGAUCCCCCACACUGGUACUGAGAUACGGACCAG
Molecule: ribosomal RNA, 307 nt
Filed under: uncultured bacterium
Lineage: Bacteria
Description: bacterial SSU rRNA
Rfam family: Bacterial small subunit ribosomal RNA
Source: RNAcentral